This 492-nucleotide ribosomal RNA is filed under the name uncultured bacterium. Its description in RNAcentral is "partial 16S ribosomal RNA". It matches the Rfam family "Bacterial small subunit ribosomal RNA", at positions 29 to 507 of the family's 1533-position model. The record is from RNAcentral.
AGUGAACGCUGGCGGUAGGCCUAACACAUGCAAGUCGAACGGCAGCACAGUAAGAUCUUGCUGUUACGGGUGGCGAGUGGCUUACGUGUGAGGUAUACAUCGUAAUCUACUUUUUCGUGUAGGAUAACGUAGGUAAACUUACUCUAAUACCGCAUACCACCUACGAUUGAAAGCAGUGGAUCUUCUCACCUUGCGGGGUUGAAUUAGCCGAUGUCGGAUUAGCUAGUUGGCGGGGUAAAGGCCCACCAAGUCGCCGAUCCGCAGCUGGUCUGAGAGGAUGAUAAGCCACACUGGAACGGAGACAGGGUCAAGACGACUGAGGGAGGGAGCAGUGGGGAAUAUGGGACAAUGGGGGGAAGCCUGAUACAGCCAUACCGAGUGGGUGAAGAAGGCGCUGGGGUUGUAAAGACCUUUUGUUGGGAAAGAAAAGCAGCAGGUUAAUACGCAGCUGUUGUGACGGUAACCAAAGAAUAAGCACCGGCUAACUUCGUG